UUUCUUUCUUUCUUUUU
RNAcentral lists this small RNA (17 nucleotides) under Arabidopsis thaliana (thale cress). RNAcentral's name for it is "ATSL115220". Lineage: Eukaryota; Viridiplantae; Streptophyta; Magnoliopsida; Brassicales; Brassicaceae. The record is from RNAcentral.